AUGCAGAAUAAAAAAUUUUUUUCCGAGGAUUUCUACACACUCGCCAGAGAAGCCGUUGGAAUGUUGGACACUUCAGACGCUGGCCACCAAAAACAGUGUGAACCUCGGUGCUAAGGGCUUGAAUGCCACUGGGUUGUAGUGCCACCAACAGCAAGGGGAUCGCGUCGUGAUGGAAGAAGGGGAUGCGCGUGAUCACGUGUGAUGCAGCAGCAAUACUGGCACGAGGGGGACAGAAAAUAAAGAAAACAUUGGUUGUGUGAAAA
Long non-coding RNA from Rhipicephalus microplus (southern cattle tick), 263 nucleotides. Lineage: Eukaryota; Metazoa; Arthropoda; Arachnida; Ixodida; Ixodidae. The record is from RefSeq and is a predicted model, not a curated record.